Molecule: ribosomal RNA, 410 nt
Filed under: uncultured bacterium
Lineage: Bacteria
Description: bacterial SSU rRNA
Rfam family: Bacterial small subunit ribosomal RNA
Source: RNAcentral
AAUGGGCGCAACCCUGAUCCAGCCAUGCCGCGUGUGUGAAGAAGGCCUUCGGGUUGUAAAGCACUUUUGUUGGGGAAGAAACCGGCCGGGUUAAUACCCUGGUUGAAUGACGGUACCCAAAGAAUAAGCACCGGCUAACUUCGUGCCAGCAGCCGCGGUAAUACGAAGGGUGCAAGCGUUACUCGGAAUUACUGGGCGUAAAGCGUGCGUAGGCGGUUUGUUAAGUCUGCUGUGAAAGCCCUGGGCUCAACCUGGCAACUGCAGUGGAUACUGGCGAGCUAGAGUGUGUCAGAGGAUGGUGGAAUUCCCGGUGUAGCGGUGAAAUGCGUAGAGAUCGGGAGGAACACCAGUGGCGAAGGCGGCCAUCUGGGACAACACUGACGCUGAGGCACGAAAGCGUGGGGAGCAAA